This 253-nucleotide ribosomal RNA is filed under the name uncultured bacterium. RNAcentral describes it as "partial 16S ribosomal RNA". It matches the Rfam family "Bacterial small subunit ribosomal RNA", at positions 524 to 776 of the family's 1533-position model. The record is from RNAcentral.
UACGUAGGUGGCAAGCGUUGUCCGGAUUUAUUGGGUUUAAAGGGUGCGUAGGCGGUUUUUUAAGUCAGUGGUGAAAUACAACAGCUUAACUGUUGAGGUGCCAUUGAUACUGUAAGACUUGAGUACAGAAGAGGUAGGCGGAAUUGCCGGUGUAGCGGUGAAAUGCUUAGAUAUCGGCAAGAACACCGAUAGCGAAGGCAGCUUACUAGACUGUAACUGACGCUGAGGCACGAAAGUGUGGGGAUCAAACAGG